RNA transcript from Salvia miltiorrhiza (redroot sage), 2030 nucleotides. RefSeq lists it as uncharacterized. Lineage: Eukaryota; Viridiplantae; Streptophyta; Magnoliopsida; Lamiales; Lamiaceae. The transcript is spliced from 15 exons. The record is from RefSeq and is a predicted model, not a curated record.
UGAUAGGAAUAGUACUGUAGAAAAAAUAGUGCCUAUGGUAUUUUUGUAAUUUUUGUUUCAUUUGUGGGUUUUUACAAAAAUAAAAAUAUCUGUUUCAUCUAUAACUGCUCUGCAGAUUUUUCUUUUUCACUUUCUAUGUUUACAGUUCGCAACAAAAAAAGAAAGAGAUUUCCUGUCAAUCUUUGCCCGGUGAAUCCGAUCAUAAUCCAAAAAAAAUCACACUAGACAAAUCCACUACAUCAACAAAGCAAGGAGCUAUUCCGCCUCUCCAAAUUCAACGAAUUAUUAUUUUCAGUUUCUGUUUUUCGACGGGCGCGCUCAGGGUCCACUUGUCUUUGCUCCCAUUGAUUUCUUUGCUGGAACACUUUCAUUUGUUUAUUGCAGCUUCGGACUUUGACCGCAUUUUUCAGAUAUUUUAUGAUGGCAAAAAGAUGUGUGCUUUCAACAGAAGAUGGCUCAGACAGCCCUGUAACAACUUCAAGACGUUUAUUUUUUAGUUUACCUCCUCCGUCUGCAUAUGAUAUGGCUAUGCCAAUUAUCUUUGGCCCUGAGUGUUCACAUGCUCUAACUACUCAGUCGAGAAGUUUGCGAGAUAAAGACUUCGAAAAAUAGAAAGAGGCGUGUUCUCAUUGUUGACAUCGUUGGGAAUGUUCUAAUCUCACAAGUGACAUGUUAUGAUUUCUCUUACUUUUGUUUUAAAUUUCUUUAGAGCUUUUAAGAAUUUAGCAUAUACUUGAAAAACUGAUUUCUUUUAUAUUAACAAUCGUUUUGUUUUCAUUUGCUCGGCUCUUCUUCUAAAAAUGGUCAAGUUUUCCUUGGCCCAACAAAUGUGAUCCCUAAUUCCAUAUUGUCAAAAUGUAUUGUUAUAAUUAAUUUUAUUUAGUGUUAUUGUUUAUUUACUCAUCUUGACUAUGUUACUACUCUUGCAUUUUGAUGGUUCGCAGGCUGCUUGCGCCGGUUGGGUUCCGAUGUGACGCAACUACCUUUGUCUAAUAAUGUUAGUGUUUCAUGGUCUAAACGUUUAUGUAAAGCUUCUUGUGGACAGAGGCGCUCAAAAGGGCCACACUCUUGAUGUUGUGAUAUUCCAUGAUAAUAUAGUUAGGUUCAAACAUGUGCUUCAAGAGGGUAAUGUUUACAUGGUGAAAGGAGCCUAUGUUUCUGAUCCAAAGCAAUACAAGAAUCCAAUUGUGACAUGUAAUUACCAAUGGACAUUCAGAAAAGAUACUUUGGUGAAUGAAGAACCAAAUGAUUCGAUACCUGCUGGUGGACUAAGUUUUAGAACAACUCCAAGUUGUGAGUUCCAUAAAUUCCUCUCAACAAAGACAUUGAUCAAUACUACUUGUGUCAUUAUUGGUACCCAUGAACCUCGGGAAGCCACAGUACAGGGUAAAGUCAUUCGUGAGUAUGCUGCUAUUGAUACAGAGCUGGAAACGUUUGUGGUGACAUUUUGGAAGCAAGAGAAUGAAGAGGCCAUUAACAUGUUAGUACAAACUGGUGGUUUUUUUGAAAAGAAAGUGUUGCGCUCACCCAAGCAACCUCUGCAGAUUACUAAAGUGGAACAAAUGUUGCACAAGAAAGAGAUGAUGUUGAUAGACCUGAGAAUUUUGAUGGUGCACAUUUGGAUAUGCCUCUAUCAGAUGAAUUUGUGGAGAGAGCAACUGAUUGCAAACUUGUUGAAGAUUCUCAUAUGGAGUCACGUCUACCUUUGGCAGGAGAAACAUAACCUUGUGGCAAAAUCAGCAUAAAAGACUAAAAUAACUCAAGCUAAGGACAAACAUGUAGCUAAAGCAAAGAAGGCAAAGAAAAUGAAGUCUAAUAUCUUAAAAGACAAGAUACAAAUCAUAUCCGAUUCAUCCCACCAACUUACUAAAGUGGUUGUCGAGCAUAAUAAAGGCAAAAGAGUCUCACAAACACCAACACUCAAGUCAAAGAGUGGCAGAACAAUCAAGCGAAGAAUAUUGGACUAAUGAAGUGAAAGAUUUUAUGAGACUUUGAAACAACUUGUGUAUGUACUUUGUACAAUUCUCUAG